This 66-nucleotide transfer RNA is filed under the name Lepinotus reticulatus. Its description in RNAcentral is "tRNA-Pro". The record is from RNAcentral. Lineage: Eukaryota; Metazoa; Arthropoda; Insecta; Psocodea; Trogiidae.
CAGAAAAUAGUUUAAGAAAAUUUUAAUUUUGGAGAUUAAAGAUGUGAAUUUAUUUCAUUUUUCUGA